Molecule: unclassified non-coding RNA, 1038 nt
Filed under: Hevea brasiliensis (rubber tree)
Lineage: Eukaryota; Viridiplantae; Streptophyta; Magnoliopsida; Malpighiales; Euphorbiaceae
Source: RNAcentral
AGUUUUACUUAUAUUUUUAAAUAUUUAUUUCAUGAACUUAUCAAUUUUUAUUUUUUAAAAAUUGCAUAGCGAUAAGCCAUUACAGUCAUGUUAUGGCUAUUAUAAUUGCGAUUUAAAUCCAUGUUUUGAACACUUGCUGAGGAGUUUUUAGUGAAUUAAUUUUUUAGGUCUUAGGACUACAAGUUCUACAAGAAUAAAUAUGAUCUUUGCAGUCAGUUUGCAAUUUAUCACUUGGUUUUGAGUUACACAUUUUAUAAAAUAGUUGUCAAGUUAAAGAAAAUUACAUUUUCAUUUGUAGUUUGUGUUGUGGUGUGGUGUUAUCUUGUCUGGUAAAAUAUCCCGGAAGUCUCAUGCAUAGUAACUCCCUUUCUUUUUCCUAAUAAAAUGGAUACCAAUAUUAUUCUUUAACUAGGACUCUAUUUUAUUGCAGAAAUAAUUUGGGCAAAACUUUUCUGAGAAUGAAUUAUUUUCUAUGAUUUGGUUUUAAUAAUUAAAAUAAGUUACCAGAAGUUGCAAUUGUGGAGAAAGAUUAUUGAGACUAAGGGUUUUAGGCCUUGUCAAAGGAAUGGAAGUAAGGUUUGAUUGGAUGGAGUUUUGGUACUAAAAUGCAAUCAAUUCAAGUAUUUAGGUUCUAUCAUAUAGAAGAACAAAGUAAUAUAUGAGUAUAUAACUCAUAAGAUCAAAAUAUGAUAAAUGAAAUGGAGAAAUAUGAUAGGUAUACCAUGCAACCAUAGAAUUGGCAAAAUGAAAGGUAAUUUCCAUAGAAUUGUGAUCAGGCCAGCUAUCUUAUAUGAUAAUGAAUGUUGAUAUCUAAUAUACAACAUAUCUACAAAAUGAGUGUGAUAGAAAUAUAUGAUAUUAUGAUAAUAGAUAAGAUUAUCAAUGACUACAUUGACUAGAAAGUGCAUGUAAUAUACAUUUGAGAUAAAACAAAAAAGUGUCAAAUAAGAUGGUUUGGUCAUAUCUAAUAUAGAGCAUCAAAUGUCCUGAUAUAAAAAUGUGAAAAUCUAAUACGGAGGGAAGUAGCAUAAAAAAAAU